This is a long non-coding RNA of Globicephala melas (long-finned pilot whale), 2465 nucleotides long. RefSeq lists it as uncharacterized. The record is from RefSeq and is a predicted model, not a curated record. Lineage: Eukaryota; Metazoa; Chordata; Mammalia; Artiodactyla; Delphinidae.
AGGCGGCCCGGGCGCAGAGGCCCCGCCCCGCCUUGCACGCGGCGCGCGGAUCUGCGCCUGUGCAACCGGCAGCCCCCGUUCCGGCUGUGCGCAGCCUGGCGGGCCGAGCGCAGAGUUCCGUGAGCAAAGAUUGGGUCGGUGUGCAGCGCUGCGGCCGCCCCUUUGGCGCUAGAACUCGCGGAGGGACGGUGUGCUGGGCGGUUCUCGGUUUCCCAGCUUCCCUGCCCGCCCCUUCCCAAAUUUCCCAAGACUUCAACCUGAAAGCGUGUGAAGCUGAGUUUCUAGAGCCUUUGUCUCCAUGAGAAAGAGCCUGAGAAUAACUUUAUUGUAAAGGAAAUGGAGCCUGACAAUAUCAUUGGAGCACCUGGAGCCAGCCAAGCCUGAAGCCACUGUGUGUUUUUAUCAGCUGUUCAUUAUGACCAUUUUUAUACUUCACUCCUGAAGGAUAUUUAGCUUGUUUUGAGGCUUCUGCUGAUACCAACGAUGGGACAGUGAACUUCCUGGGUUGAAGGUAGAAUCUGCGUGUUCCCUUUUAUCAAGGACUGUACCACAACUACUGUGGAUUGAAGCACUCAUUACCCUACUUCCCCUUGAAGAGGGAAGGAGCUGGACACAAACUACCAAAUGAGAAGGCUUCCAGACUCAGGUUGAAUUACACCACCGGUUUUCCUGGGCCUCCAGCUUGCAUGUGACUAAUUGUGGGACUUCUCAGCCUCCGUAAUGAUAGACCCCUCUCCGUGAAUCCAGCACGAAAUGUCAAACCUACUUCAUCAUCACAAUCCUCUCCCUGAAGCUUUCCCUGUGGCUCUCUCUGUUGGAGUGGCUGACGCCCAAGCUUGGGAGAUGAACUUUUUCCACAUGAGUCAGAACUCAGUGGUUACUCCCUUGGUCUCAUCUCCUUCGAGGAAAGCCUGGCCAAUGAAUACCUCUUCUGUGAUCUCCAAACACCCUUUCUGCAUCUUUUCUUCGAACCAAGACACCAGCAUCUCACCUGCUAAGUUAUUCACAGACUUAAGCUACAAGCAUCUGAGCACCAUUGUGGACCCCGGCCUCACCUGGGGAUGUGGCAAGAGCCCCAAGAAGAAGGCAAUGAUGCUUCGAGGGAUAUGGGACCCUGGGCGCUGGGAUUUUUGGCCUCUCCAAGACGUUUCAAGUCCUAUGGAAGUAUCAGAGAACCCCCCAUAACAAGAAACCACUGAGACCUUGGACAAGGAUAUCGGCAGCAACCACAGGAGACUGGGGGUCGGAGACCCCUCCCCCCAUUUUCUGGCAUCAGUAGGCCUCCCUAGUUCUGAUGGGUCUCUGAGGUUGGGGUGUGGUAAAGUGGGUGAUGGGGGGGUACCUAACACUGAUGGAUGGCAUUUCCUACCAGUUCAGUGAAAUGUGCAGGUUGGGGUGGAAUAAGGUGGGGAGUAGAGGAAAAUUGGAGUUGAAAUUAGUCUGUGCAAACUGUAAAAUGGGGAUAAUAAUAUUACCUCUCUCAUAGAGUUAUUAUGAGGAUUAAGUGAGAUAAAAAUACAAGUAAAUAAUUUAGAGUCUGACACAUAGUAAGCGUCCAGCAGAUGUUAGCUCCUAUUAUUACUAUUUAGCUUUUCCCUGUCUGCUGACCAGAGGUUAGCUGUUCCUGUUUUGUAUAAGUGACAUGCUGUGAAGUGGCUUUGCAUGUGAUGAGUCUUCUACUCCUCAUUUCACAUGUGUGAAAUGGGCUGACAGAAGAGACCAACAUGAACGGCUUCACCUUCACGGCCCCCAGCAGACGCAUCCCAGAGUCACCAGGGAGUCAUGUGAUGAAAGAUUGAAGGAUGGAGCGUCCGGGAGGGCUACUUGUGAACCGUUCUCACAGAGCCAGGCUCUGUGCCGUCUGCUCUGCCCAGUGGUCCCCAGCCCCUGCCCCUCCAUGGCCUAAUGGUCACUCGCUUUAAGUUUGGGGAAACUUAAAGCUGGGGUCCCUUAUCGGCAGGUUCUGGGGCAAUGGGUGGGGAGAGGCUGUGGAUCUCUGAAGUUCACAGACAGUCCCCACCCUCACACUCCUUUAUUUUCAAGUUGUGCUUAUGUGUUAAUUACAAAAGUAAACCAAACUCACUAUAAAAACAGCCAACACCACAGUGCGUAAAGGUAAAGGCAAAAAUUCUUCUCCAGCUGCUCCCCUGCCCCAGUCCACUUCCCAGACGUCAACCCUGUGACUAGACUAGUGGAGGCCACAGGUCCUGGGGGCCCUCUCACCCCGCUUCUGUCUAGGCCUUUAAUCCUGAGUCCUAAUGUGUGAGAGCCUCCGUUCUUUACACCUGCACACCCUCUAGUGUGGGUGCUUUGUAUAGGCGAGGUGAGGACACAGAGAUAGAGGCAGGUGGCAGGCAUGGCCCCUGUAAGUCAGGAUCUGAAUUCUUGGUCUCAACUAGGUCCACCAGACCUUGACUAGUGAGGUCGGCUUUUCUAACCCCAGUGCUGAGAGGAUAUUUGGAACA